RNAcentral lists this long non-coding RNA (219 nucleotides) under Capsicum annuum. Its description in RNAcentral is "long non-coding RNA (CANN_LNC002205)". The record is from RNAcentral. Lineage: Eukaryota; Viridiplantae; Streptophyta; Magnoliopsida; Solanales; Solanaceae.
AAGAUAAUGAGUUCUAGUUCAUUCGAGUAGUCAGAAUCACAUUCCUUAUGUUAGGAACUCUAGUUGAAGUCAUGCAACUCAUGACGCAUGUACUCACUCUUUAUAGUGUGCUUAGUCCCGUAUAAAAGUCUUCUCAUGUUUCAGGGUCUUAUGUUUUAACCUUUUAGUGACCCUCCCUAUGCAAUGAUAGUGGUGAUGAUGUAAAUGUUCUUGUUGAUG